RNAcentral lists this ribosomal RNA (379 nucleotides) under uncultured bacterium. RNAcentral's name for it is "bacterial SSU rRNA". It matches the Rfam family "Bacterial small subunit ribosomal RNA", at positions 521 to 896 of the family's 1533-position model. The record is from RNAcentral.
UGACACGUAGGCACCAAGCGUUGUCCGGAUUUAUUGGGCGUAAAGAGCUCGUAGGCGGUUCAGUAAGUCGGGUGUGAAAACUUUGGGCUUAACCCAAAGCGUGCAUCCGAUACUGCUGUGACUUGAGUACGGUAGGGGAGCGGGGAAUUCCUAGUGUAGCGGUGAAAUGCGCAGAUAUUAGGAGGAACACCGGUGGCGAAGGCGCCGCUCUGGGCCGAAACUGACGCUGAGGAGCGAAAGCAUGGGUAGCAAACAGGAUUAGAUACCCUGGUAGUCCAUGCCGUAAACGUUGGGCACUAGGUGUGGGUUCCAACCAACGGAAUCCGCGCCGUCGCUAACGCAUUAAGUGCCCCGCCUGGGGAGUACGGCCGCAAGGUUA